This 345-nucleotide unclassified non-coding RNA is filed under the name soil metagenome. RNAcentral describes it as "partial contains 5.8S ribosomal RNA, internal transcribed spacer 2, and large subunit ribosomal RNA". The stretch from base 1 to 120 matches the Rfam family "5.8S ribosomal RNA", at positions 35 to 154 of the family's 154-position model. The record is from RNAcentral.
GAUGAAGAACGUAGUGAAAUGCGAUAAGUAAUGUGAAUUGCAGAAUUCCGUGAAUCAUCGAAUCUUUGAACGCACAUUGCGCCCUCUGGUAUUCCGGGGGGCAUGCCUGUCCGAGCGUCAUUUGCAACCCCCAAGCCCGGCUUGUGUGAUGGGUGCCGUCCCCUACGGGACGCGCCCCGAAGGCAAUGGCGGCGUCGCGGUUAUCCGAUCAGCCAAAGUGUAUGGGGCUUUGUCACUCACUUUACGGCCCGGACCGGCGCCAGUCCGAAUCAAUCUUUUUUCUAAAGUUGACCUCGGAUCAGGUAGGGAUACCCGCUGAACUUAAGCAUAUCAAUAAGCGGAGGA